This 598-nucleotide ribosomal RNA is filed under the name uncultured bacterium. Its description in RNAcentral is "bacterial SSU rRNA". It matches the Rfam family "Bacterial small subunit ribosomal RNA", at positions 25 to 665 of the family's 1533-position model. The record is from RNAcentral.
CAGGAUGAACGCUGGCGGUCUGCUUAACACAUGCAAGUCGAACGGGACUCUUCGGAGUUCAGUGGCGGACGGGUGAGUAACGCGUGAGAAUCUGCCUUCAGGUUCGGGACAACCACUGGAAACGGUGGCUAAUACCGGAUGUGCUAUACAGUAAAAGAUUUAUCGCCUGAAGAUGAGCUCGCGUCUGAUUAGCUAGUUGGUGAGGUAAAAGCUCACCAAGGCGACGAUCAGUAGCUGGUCUGAGAGGAUGACCAGCCACACUGGGACUGAGACACGGCCCAGGCUCCUACGGGAGGCAGCAGUGGGGAAUUUUCCGCAAUGGGCGAAAGCCUGACGGAGCAAGACCGCGUGAGGGAGGAAGGCCCUUGGGUUGUAAACCUCUUUUCUCAGGGAAGAAGAAAGUGACGGUACCUGAGGAAUCAGCCUCGGCUAACUCCGUGCCAGCAGCCGCGGUAAGACGGAGGAGGCAAGCGUUAUCCGGAAUUAUUGGGCGUAAAGCGUCCGUAGGUGGCUGCUCAAGUCUGCCGUCAAAGCACAGGGCUUAACUCUGUUAAGGCGGUGGAAACUGAGGAGCUAGAGAGAGGUAGGGGUAGAGGGA